GCCUAGCCAUAAACAUUGGUAGCACAUUACACCCACUACCCGCCUGGGAACUACGAGCAUCAGCUUGAAACCCAAAGGACUUGGCGGUGCUUUAGAUCCACCUAGAGGAGCCUGUUCUAGAACCGAUAACCCCCGUUCAACCUCACCUUUCCUUGUCUCUCCCGCCUAUAUACCGCCGUCGUCAGCUUACCCUGUGAAGGUUAAAUAGUAAGCAAAAUUGGUACAACCUAAAACGUCAGGUCGAGGUGUAGCGUAUGGGAAGGGAAGAAAUGGGCUACAUUUCCUACUACAGGAAAUACGAAUGAUGUACUGAAACGUAUAUCUGAAGGAGGAUUUAGCAGUAAGCAGGAAAUAGAGCGUCCCGCUGAAAUUGGCCCUGAAGCGCGC
This 387-nucleotide ribosomal RNA is filed under the name Perca flavescens (yellow perch). RNAcentral describes it as "partial small subunit ribosomal RNA". It matches the Rfam family "Bacterial small subunit ribosomal RNA", at positions 794 to 1384 of the family's 1533-position model. The record is from RNAcentral. Lineage: Eukaryota; Metazoa; Chordata; Actinopteri; Perciformes; Percidae.